Drosophila virilis is the source of this 268-nucleotide non-coding RNA. Lineage: Eukaryota; Metazoa; Arthropoda; Insecta; Diptera; Drosophilidae. The record is from RefSeq and is a predicted model, not a curated record.
AACACUGUCUCGAUGGCUCAACCACUAACCAUACAAUGCUCAACUUCACAAGAAAAGAAGCUCUUGGCGUUAAGCAACACUGUGUUUGGCUGCUGUUGCUGCUUGGCAAUGAUAAAUUGUGUGAUUUUAGGACAAUAACACACAAAUACCUUAUUCUGAUGCUGUCAAUGGGUUAAUGUGCAUGUAGAAUCGAGUUUUGGGAUCUAAUUUGAAUGCCGUAACACGUUUUUAAAUAAAUGAACGCAUUAAUUAUUUUAGUACACAUAAA